Molecule: long non-coding RNA, 124 nt
Organism: Alosa sapidissima (American shad)
Lineage: Eukaryota; Metazoa; Chordata; Actinopteri; Clupeiformes; Clupeidae
Exons: 3
Source: RefSeq, a predicted model, not a curated record
CAAAGGGAUAUACAUAAGGUCACAGUGACCUUGACCUUUGACCUUUGGCUACCAAAAUGUUACAAGUUAUUAUUUGAAUCCAAGUGACUGUUUCUAGCCCUGAGAUAUGCCUAUGCUGGAGAGA